This 206-nucleotide ribosomal RNA is filed under the name uncultured bacterium. RNAcentral's name for it is "partial 16S ribosomal RNA". It matches the Rfam family "Bacterial small subunit ribosomal RNA", at positions 568 to 774 of the family's 1533-position model. The record is from RNAcentral.
UGCGUAGGCGGGUCUUUAAGUCAGGGGUGAAAUCCUGGAGCUCAACUCCAGAACUGCCUUUGAUACUGAGGAUCUUGAGUCCGGGAGAGGUGAGUGGAACUGAGAGUGUAGAGGUGAAAUUCGUAGAUAUUCGCAAGAACACCAGUGGCGAAGGCGGCUCACUGGCCCGGUACUGACGCUGAGGCACGAAAGCUGGGGAGCAAACA